UACAGAGGUCUCAAGCGUUGUUCGGAUUCAUUGGGCGUAAAGGGUGCGUAGGCGGCGCGGUAAGUCGGGUGUGAAAUCUCGGAGCUUAACUCCGAAACUGCAUUCGAUACUGCCGUGCUUGAGGACUGGAGAGGAGACUGGAAUUUACGGUGUAGCGGUGAAAUGCAUUGAGAUCGGAAAGAACACCAACGGCGAAAGCACUCUGCUGGGCCGACACUGACACUGAGAGACGAAAGCUAGGGGAGCAAAUGGG
This 253-nucleotide ribosomal RNA is filed under the name uncultured bacterium. RNAcentral describes it as "partial 16S ribosomal RNA". It matches the Rfam family "Bacterial small subunit ribosomal RNA", at positions 524 to 776 of the family's 1533-position model. The record is from RNAcentral.